ACCACACUGCUCUUCCAUGCUCACAGAUGAGCCCAGGCCAGGUCAGCUUCUCCAUCCCCAGCCCUUCUUGUCCUUGGGAUUGGGUUUCUGGAGACAUCUGUGAGAAAAACUUUCUCUGGUCUUCCCAGUUUACAAGAAAAGAGCAAAUAUUUUACAACGUAUCAGGAUAAGCUGUGACAAGUACCACACGUCCACACAGUCUUUGCUCAAAGCUCACAGCCUGAAAAGACUUCCAGGCAGUCAGAGGCUCACAGCCCAGAGAGCUGAGGGCGAAACACCAAGAAGCCAUCUUCUGUUCCAAGAAUUACUCGUUCCUGCCCUCGAGCCAUCAACCCAAGCAGCGUUUCAUCCUGGAAUCUCUUGAGAAUCGUUUCUGUGGGAACGUGGAGUUGUGUGAGAAUUCCGAGCGCCUGUAAGAAAACUCCAGAACAAGUCUCAUGACCCAUUUCCUCGAAAUACACGAUCGUUCUUGGAAUGUUUUACGCCACUCCCAGGUGUAAGCAGAUAGAUCUGGAUGCUGGGAAGUUCAGAGAUCAAAGAGUUGCCAGCAAUCAUGGUCUUCAUGUUGCGUCUUACCACGGCUGAAUGUGGGUUGAGCAAGAGCUCAACCGCCUGACUGCAAACAACUCCAGCUAAGCCCCGCCUAAUACUGUUGCACUGGCUGGAUGCUCCCAGCCUAAUACUGUUGCACUGGCUGGAUGCUCCCAGCAUGGACUUUGGGGGAAGACACACUUGAAGCCAUACAGAUUCUUAACCUCUAAUGACUUUCCAUCAAUUCCACGGGCUGUAUUAGGGUUCUCUACGGAACAGAAAAAGGAAUGAAUGUGUACGUUAUAAGGAAGUUUAUUAGAUUGGCUUACAUUAUAGAGUCUGGGCAUCCCAACACUAGCUGUCUCGAAUUAAGAGACCAAAACCCUGGUUGUUUAGCCCAUGAGGCAGGAUGUCUCAGCAGUCUGACCUGGUCAUUGGAGGAUUCCUGGAGAGCUCUGGUCUAAUACUGCGCAACACAAUGAACUUGCCAGAAGUGAAGGCAAGAAGAAAAAGUUUCCUUCUUCCACAUCCUGCCUUUGAUAUGGGUUGCUGUGGUGGGUCUUCCCAUUUCAAAUCAUCAAAAAUGCCCCUCCUAGUAGUGCCUAGCAGCUUGUGCUGUAGAUUUAAAUUGUCCUGUAAGGCAUGAACUACAGCCCGGAAGUGGUGGUGCACACCUUUAAUCCCAGCACUUGGGAAGCAGAGGCAGGCAGAUCUGGGUGAAUUCCUUGCCAGCCUGAUCUACAGAAUGAGUUCCAGGACAGCCAGGGUUACACAGAGCAACACUUGUCUAUGAAAAACCAGAGAAAAAAAUACAAAAGACAUCAACUCUAGCUAGCAUACCUUCCAGUGCCUUUCUCAGCUUGAACAAGCCAGGUCAAACACAAUCUUACACCCAGCACUCCAGCAGACAUUCCAGAGUGAAUGCGCGCUGAGUUGAAACUGCUCAAAAACAAAAGCAAGUGUUAAGAAAAUCUGAAUUCUCCACAUACCUAGAUUAGCCUUCAUCUCCAGGCUAAAGGCAAGCCAUUUCUGCAGUGCUGACACCAUAACUUGGUGCUGCUGCACUGGCUUUCCAAAGCUUUCACCUCACUGCAUGUGCUGCCUCAGAACACCAAUCAGAAAGGACCACCAACCUCCAUGUCCGCCCCCAUCAAGAAUUUCAACUACCCCAAACCAUCUCACUUCCUCCCAGUGUCUUCUUCCCCUGCUGGGUGUUUCCCUUAAGUAGGCUUACACAGCGCAUCAGCUACACGCCCGGCCACACCCCUGUGCUGUCGAGGACAGAGCUCAAAGCUACGUGCCAAUACUUACCAGAUCACUUUUUCUAGGGGACCUGGGAGAGUUGGCUCAGUAGUUAGAGCACUGGCUGCCUACCCAGCAGAUGGAGGGUUUGUCUGAAUCCCCAGUUCCAGGGAGCUGAUGUCCUCUUCUGUCUUCUGUGGGUACUACGUGCGUGUGGCACACAGGCAUAUAUGCAGGCAAAAAAAAAAUCUUUAAACAAAUGCAAAAAUAAAUUUUUUUGAAAGAAGUA
This 2062-nucleotide long non-coding RNA is filed under the name Mus musculus (house mouse). RNAcentral's name for it is "predicted gene, 57062". The record is from RNAcentral. Lineage: Eukaryota; Metazoa; Chordata; Mammalia; Rodentia; Muridae.